GUGCUCGUUUCAGCAGCUCAUAUACUAAAAUUGGAACGAUACAGAGAUUAGCAUGGCCCCUGUGCAAGGAUGACAUGCAAAUUCGUGAAGCAUUCCAUAUUUUU
This is a small nuclear RNA of Sorex fumeus (smoky shrew), 104 nucleotides long. NCBI's taxonomy places the organism in Eukaryota, Metazoa, Chordata, Mammalia, Eulipotyphla, Soricidae. The record is from RefSeq and is a predicted model, not a curated record.